This 501-nucleotide ribosomal RNA is filed under the name uncultured bacterium. RNAcentral's name for it is "partial 16S ribosomal RNA". It matches the Rfam family "Bacterial small subunit ribosomal RNA", at positions 30 to 523 of the family's 1533-position model. The record is from RNAcentral.
AUUGAACGCUGGCGGCAGGCUUAACACAUGCAAGUCGAGCGGAGAUGAGGUGCUUGCACCUUAUCUUAGCGGCGGACGGGUGAGUAAUGCUUAGGAAUCUGCCUAUUAGUGGGGGACAACAUUCCGAAAGGAAUGCUAAUACCGCAUACGUCCUACGGGAGAAAGCAGGGGAUCUUCGGACCUUGUGCUAAUAGAUGAGCCUAAGUCGGAUUAGCUAGUUGGUGGGGUAAAGGCCUACCAAGGCGACGAUCUGUAGCGGGUCUGAGAGGAUGACCCGCCACACUGGGACUGAGAAACGGCCCAGACUCCUACGGUAGGCAGCAGUGGGGAAUAUUGGACAAUGGGGGAAACCCUGAUCCAGCCAUGCCGCGUGUGUGAAGAAGGCCUUAUUGUUGUAAAGCACUUUAAGCGAGGAGGAGGCUACUGAGACUAAUACUCUUGGAUAGUGGACGUUACUCGCAGAAUAAGCACCGGCUAACUCUGUGCCAGCCGCCGCCGUAA